RNAcentral lists this ribosomal RNA (447 nucleotides) under uncultured bacterium. RNAcentral's name for it is "bacterial SSU rRNA". It matches the Rfam family "Bacterial small subunit ribosomal RNA", at positions 355 to 825 of the family's 1533-position model. The record is from RNAcentral.
UGGGGAAUAUUGGACAAUGGGCGCAAGCCUGAUCCAGCCAUGCCGCGUGAGUGACGAAGGCCUUAGGGUUGUAAAGCUCUUUUGGCGGGGAAGAUAAUGACGGUACCCGCAGAAUAAGCUCCGGCUAACUUCGUGCCAGCAGCCGCGGUAAUACGAAGGGAGCUAGCGUUGUUCGGAAUCACUGGGCGUAAAGCGCACGUAGGUGGAUAGUUAAGUGAGGGGUGAAAGCCCGAGGCUCAACCUCGGAAUUGCCUCUCAUACUGGCUGUCUCGAGUCCGAGAGAGGUGGGUGGAAUUCCUAGUGUAGAGGUGAAAUUCGUAGAUAUUAGGAAGAACACCGGUGGCGAAGGCGACCCACUGGCUCGGUACUGACACUGAGGUGCGAAAGCGUGGGGAGCAAACAGGAUUAGAUACCCCUGUAGUCCCUGAGCGGGCUGGCAAGGCGCAU